Molecule: long non-coding RNA, 404 nt
Filed under: Lathyrus oleraceus (garden pea)
Lineage: Eukaryota; Viridiplantae; Streptophyta; Magnoliopsida; Fabales; Fabaceae
Description: Pisum sativum (pea) long non-coding RNA (PSAT_LNC012636)
Source: RNAcentral
UCAAUAACAGCUUCUCAGUAACAGCGUAUUAAUCGUACAGCAAUGCCCAAAUAAGAUCAAUAUAAACCCACAUAAACAAACAGAUUCUAACUAAUUUGCGACGCACACCAUUACCGUAAUGACGUUGGUGUGGCUAUCCGGGAUGCUUGGCUUGUGGUGAUGUUGCUGUUAGGAUUCGCUUUUGUCGGUGCAAAUGAAAGGGGAUCCGGCCAUGUCGAGACGAUCGUUCCCAAAUCUUGAAUGAUAACCUGUGCACAGAUCAACAACAAAGACAACUGAAACUGAAAAUAGACUCCUUGGAUUCGAAAAUCAUAAAACAGAUUUGAGUUGAAGAUAUUGCGUGGUUAUUGCUGCGAGAGAGAUUUGAGAUGGCUGUUCAGUGACGGUGUCGGCGGUGUUUGUUU